AUCAUACUCCCUUCGUCCUAAAAUUCUUUUCUUAGAUUUGUUUAGAUAUGAAUGUAUCUAGUCAAGUUUAGUAUUUAGAUACAUUCAUUUCUAAACAAAGUUAAGACAAAAAUUUUGGAACGGAGGGAGUAGAAU
Non-coding RNA from Hordeum vulgare subsp. vulgare (domesticated barley), 135 nucleotides. The record is from Rfam. Lineage: Eukaryota; Viridiplantae; Streptophyta; Magnoliopsida; Poales; Poaceae.